GAACGCUGGCGGCGUGCUUAACACAUGCAAGUCGAACGGAAAGGCCCUGCUUUUGUGGGGUGCUCGAGUGGCGAACGGGUGAGUAACACGUGAGUAACCUGCCCUUGACUUUGGGAUAACUUCAGGAAACUGGGGCUAAUACCGGAUAGGAGCUCCUGCUGCAUGGUGGGGGUUGGAAAGUUUCGGCGGUUGGGGAUGGACACGCGGCUUAUCAGCUUGUUGGUGGGGUAGUGGCUUACCAAGGCUUUGACGGGUAGCCGGCCUGAGAGGGUGACCGGCCACAUUGGGACUGAGAUACGGCCCAGACUCCUACGGGAGGCAGCAGUGGGGAAUAUUGCACAAUGGGCGGAAGCCUGAUGCAGCAACGCCGCGUGCGGGAUGACGGCCUUCGGGUUGUAAACCGCUUUCGCCUGUGACGAAGCGUGAGUGACGGUAAUGGGUAAAGAAGCACCGGCUAACUACGUG
Molecule: ribosomal RNA, 465 nt
Filed under: uncultured bacterium
Lineage: Bacteria
Description: partial 16S ribosomal RNA
Rfam family: Bacterial small subunit ribosomal RNA
Source: RNAcentral